UACAGAGGGGGCGAGCGUUGUUCGGAAUUACUGGGCGUAAAGGGCGCGUAGGCGGCCUCCUAAGUCGAACGUGAAAUCCCUGGGCUCAACCCAGGAACUGCGUCCGAUACUGGAAGGCUUGAAUCCGGGAGAGGGAUGCGGAAUUCCAGGUGUAGCGGUGAAAUGCGUAGAUAUCUGGAGGAACACCGGUGGCGAAGGCGGCAUCCUGGACCGGUAUUGACGCUGAGGCGCGAAAGCCAGGGGAGCAAACGGG
This 253-nucleotide ribosomal RNA is filed under the name uncultured bacterium. Its description in RNAcentral is "partial 16S ribosomal RNA". It matches the Rfam family "Bacterial small subunit ribosomal RNA", at positions 524 to 776 of the family's 1533-position model. The record is from RNAcentral.